RNAcentral lists this ribosomal RNA (237 nucleotides) under uncultured bacterium. Its description in RNAcentral is "partial 16S ribosomal RNA". It matches the Rfam family "Bacterial small subunit ribosomal RNA", at positions 125 to 354 of the family's 1533-position model. The record is from RNAcentral.
CCGUAGCCCAAGAGACUGGGAUAACACCUGGAAACAGAUGCUAAUACCGGAUAACAACACUAGACGCAUGUCUAGAGUUUAAAAGAUGGUUCUGCUAUCACUCUUGGAUGGAUCUGCGGUGCAUUAGCUAGUUGGUAAGGUAACGGCUUACCAAGGCAAUGAUGCAUAGCCGAGUUGAGAGACUGAUCGGCCACAUUGGGACUGAGACACGGCCCAAACUCCUACGGAAGGCAGCAG